UUUCCGUAGGUGAACCUGCGGAAGGAUCAUACUGAGUGAGGGCCCCUCGGGGUCCAACCUCCCACCCGUGUUUAACGAACCUUGUUGCUUCGGCGGGCCCGCCUCACGGCCGCCGGGGGGCAUCUGCCCCCGGGCCCGCGCCCGCCGAAGCCACCUGUGAACGCUGUCUGAAGUAUGCAGUCUGAGGCAAUUAUUAAAUUAAUUAAAACUUUCAACAACGGAUCUCUUGGUUCCG
Molecule: unclassified non-coding RNA, 235 nt
Filed under: plant metagenome
Description: partial contains small subunit ribosomal RNA, internal transcribed spacer 1, and 5.8S ribosomal RNA
Source: RNAcentral